CACCACAGGAAAGUCCAUUUAAGAUGUUGGUAGGUUUAACAAAGUUGGAAUGCUGGCACUGUUGAAUUGGGCAACAGUUCUUCAGACCUGGCUCAGAGCUACAAUGCAUUUAGUAUAUUAAAGCAGCUGACAUGAUGACUUUUUGCGAGCCUUCCCAGGCACUGGAGUUUUUCUGUUAAUUUGCCGCACUAGGUCAUAAAAGAUCUGCAAAUACAAUAAUUUGUUUUAAUUUACAGGAGGAACACCUAUCCCCCCC
Molecule: long non-coding RNA, 256 nt
Filed under: Homo sapiens (human)
Lineage: Eukaryota; Metazoa; Chordata; Mammalia; Primates; Hominidae
Description: LNC_000938
Source: RNAcentral